GUUAUCCGGAAUCAUUGGGCGUAAAGCGCCUGUAGGUUGUUUAAUAAGUCCGUUGUUAAAGACUAGGGCUUAACCCUAGGAAAGCGAUGGAAACUGAUAGACUUGAGUAUGGCAGGGGUAGAGGGAAUUUCUAGUGUAGCGGUGAAAUGCGUAGAUAUUAGAAAGAACACCGGUGGCGAAAGCGCUCUACUGGACCAUUACUGACACUGAGAGGCGAAAGCUAGGGGAGCGAAAGGGAUUAGAUACCCCUGUAGUCCUAGCCGUAAACGAUGGAUACUAGAUGUUGUGCAAUUUGGACAGUAUCGUAGCUAACGCGUUAAGUAUCCCGCCUGGGGAGUACGCUCGCAAGGGUGAAACUCAAAGGAAUUGACGGGGGCCCGCACAAGCGGUGGAGCAUGUGGUUUAAUUCGAUGCAACGCGAAGAACCUUACCAGGGCUUGACAUACUACAGAUCUUUUUGAGAAAGAAGAGUGCCUUCGGGAAUGUAGAUACAGGUGGUGCAUGGCUGUCGUCAGCUCGUGUCGUGAGAUGUUGGGUUAAGUCCCCGCAACGAGCGCAACCCUCGUUUUUAGUUGCCAAUUUAUUGGGAUCUCUAGAAAGACUGCCCGGUGACAAACCGGAGGAAGGUGAGGAUGACGUCAAGUCAGCAUGCCCCUUAUGUCCUGGGCCACACACGUGCUACAAUGGUAAAGACAAAGAGUCGCCAAUUCGCGAGAAUGAGCUAAUCUCAUAAACUUUAUCUAAGUUCGGAUUGUA
Molecule: ribosomal RNA, 756 nt
Filed under: uncultured marine haptophyte
Lineage: Eukaryota; Haptophyta
Description: bacterial SSU rRNA
Rfam family: Bacterial small subunit ribosomal RNA
Source: RNAcentral